UUGGAGGGCAAGUCUGGUGCCAGCAGCCGCGGUAAUUCCAGCUCCAAUAGCGUAUAUUAAAGUUGUUGCAGUUAAAAAGCUCGUAGUUGAAUUUCGGGGUUCUACCGUCGGUCGGGCUACCAAGUCUGUACUGGUGUGUAGAAUUUCCACCUUCUGGGGAACCAUCAUGUUAUUAAUUUAGCGUGGUGGGAAACCAGGACCUUUACCUUGAAAAAAUUAGAGUGUUCAAAGCAGGCUUAUGUCUGAAUACAUUAGCAUGGAAUAAUAGAAUAGGACGGUGGUCCUGUUUUGUUGGUUUCUGAAUCACCGUAAUGAUUAAUAGGGAUAGUUGGGGGCAUUAGUAUUCAAUUGUCAGAGGUGAAAUUCUUGGAUUUAUUGAAGACUAACUUCUGCGAAAGCAUUUGCCAAGGAUGUUUUCAUUAAUCAAGAACGAAAGUUAGGGGAUCGAAGACGAUCAGAUACCGUCGUAGUCUUAACCAUAAACUACGCCGACUAGGGAUCGGACGAUGUUAAAUUUUAUUGACUCGUUCGGCGCCUUACGGGAAAC
This 547-nucleotide ribosomal RNA is filed under the name uncultured Glomeromycotina. Its description in RNAcentral is "SSU rRNA". It matches the Rfam family "Eukaryotic small subunit ribosomal RNA", at positions 548 to 1098 of the family's 1831-position model. Lineage: Eukaryota; Fungi; Glomeromycota. The record is from RNAcentral.